Non-coding RNA from Paramuricea clavata, 91 nucleotides. The record is from the annotation of a GenBank genome assembly. Lineage: Eukaryota; Metazoa; Cnidaria; Anthozoa; Malacalcyonacea; Plexauridae.
UUGAAGGAUUUGUAAGAAAUGUUUGAGGGAAUUUACUUACUGUUUAACAAUGUCAGUCAAUUCCUUCAAACAUUUUUUACAAAUCCUUCAA